This is a long non-coding RNA of Falco peregrinus (peregrine falcon), 5565 nucleotides long. RefSeq lists it as uncharacterized. NCBI's taxonomy places the organism in Eukaryota, Metazoa, Chordata, Aves, Falconiformes, Falconidae. The transcript is spliced from 2 exons. The record is from RefSeq and is a predicted model, not a curated record.
AAGAGGGGAGGUUUAACCCCUUGUCCUCACUCCGCUUCUCAGAGGCGGCUCUCAAGCUCGGCUCCUCGGUGUCUCCCUGUUCAUUUGUGACCGGGCGUCCCAGCUGCCCGGAGGCAUGAAGACGCCUCAGACAAACUCGCUCUGUUGGCUUGUUCUGGGACCUCUGGCCUUGCUUCAUUGCCACGGCGGCACCGGUUGGCACAAUUGUUCUCUUGUUUCAAGACUAGGAUAUUCUUUCAAGAAAAUACUUGCAUAUUUACUUACGUAUGACCUCAGUGUUUGCGUGCUUGUCAGUCGUUGAGUAUAUUUAAUAACCUAGGUCUGAAAUGGUCAUUUUAAAAGUCCCUAUUAAACCAUCGCUUGCCUCUAGUGGCAGUUGGACUCCCUUUUUGCUCCUCUGCAUGCCCCACGCAGCCUGAGCUUGAGCAGAUCCUGAACCUCCACCUCUGGAAGUUGCCAGUGUGUCUGGAAACCUGAGGUAGGGUGCAUUUCACUUUGGAUUACGUGUAUCUGGAGCCGACUUAGCUGGCUGGGCUGCCUUUAUAGUUGGUAGAGAACUAGUCACUGCAGUGCCAUUUGGGAUGCGAUUCAUCUGAUCAAAUAUGGGUAGUUUAAGGUAGGACAUGUCACACUCUUAAACUUACCUAUAUUUAUUAGUUUUAGAGGUACUAUAAGGACACUCAAGGGAGCCAUGGUUAACGAGUAGGCACCUAGAUUGUAUAUCCAGUUUUUCAGGUGAUUCCCACCUAAAAUGUCCCAGGCCCCUAUAGGAGCCAAUCCAUCAGGUAAGCUCUGAACAGGAUAUAAAUGCAUUGAGCACCGUACAAAAGUAAGUCCUAGAAAUGUUCUUUUUAACAGCAGUACAGUAAUCCUAAGCAUCUUUUAUAGAAAAAUGCUUGGCCAUUAGAGGAGAGAGUCCUUUAAGCCGCACAGUGUACGCUGGAUGGAAUAGUAAAUGCACUCUACUCUUUCUACUGAAGCCGGACCACUAUGCAGAAAUGAAGGAAGGAAGGAAGGAAGAAUGAUUUCAGUUAUUUUAUAAUUAUUGGUCUUGGGAUCACUAUUGAUGCUCUUGCCAGAAAAGGUAGAAAUGUGCUAAUUAAAAUUACUGAUGACAGAAAGUUGGGAGACAUCAAUAAAGAGGAUGUUCACAGGAACACAGAGGAAAAAUUGAGUGCUCUUGAGGACUGAGAUAGUAAAAAUGGAAGGAAAUGCAUGAGUAAAACAGGAGUAUAUUUUCUGAUUAAUAUACAGGGAAGGGGUGGCAUAAAUACUGGAAAGAGAAAAUGAAAGGGAAAAUGGAGCUUCAUAAAUUUUUAUUAUAUGGUAUUUAGCAGUAGCAGGGAAUUGCGCUAAAUGACCCUUCCAAGCAUUUGAUCCCAAUUAUGAAUCAUUUCUUCUUUGUCUCAGCCUUCAUCUAAAGAUGUCAAAGUGCUCUAGCCUCUAAGCAAACUUGUGAAGAAGACAGCUAUCCUCAUUUUUUGUACUGGAAAGCUGAGACAGUAUUUGAGUUGCCAAAUUCACACAUUAUUCACUUGAUGAACAGGCCUAAAAGCAAAUAGCUCCUCUCCAGGGCUACAUCCUACACAUACAAGAUAGUAGCAAUACCUACUUUCUGUCUUGUGUAGUAUAUCCUAUUGAUUUUAUAUACAGGUUUAAUAAACAUUCUUCAGGUAUCUUUUCAAAUGUCCUUGCUUUAAUAAAUAAUUACUAUUCCUGUGUGUUUAUAACUGUCCUCUUCAGGUUCCCUGGGCAACAUCAGUGUAACCAAUUCUCUUCAUUUUAGAGGUGAAAAAACUAAUAAGAGACAUGGGUAAUUUAUGGAGGAGACAGAGUAAUGCUACAGCAAUGGUAGAACUGUGAAUCUGAUUCUUAUAUUUUUGCUCAAUCUUUUAAUAGCUACACUUGUUCAUACAGAAAAGAAGUGUGCUGUCUGUAGUCUGUGGGAAUGUACCCAUUGGUUUUAAUGGGAUAAAGGUAAACCCAAAAUGAUAAAUCAAAUCGAUGGUUUGUAGCAAUUCCUGAGAAGUGUCUGUUUCAGGUCCUGGUGACAAAUUUUUUUGUUGAUUUCUUGUUACUUUCUUUCAUCAGCAAGAUACUUGUAAGAACUUUCAUCAGCAAGAUACUUGUUGCCUUCAGCAACAGACUGAUUUUGAUAAAACACUUGCAAGGAAAUCUUUCUUAUAUUACAGAAAGCAGUUUGGUUUUAGUCAAAUGUAAAGGAAGUUCCAUAAAAGCUGAUGAUUCAAGCUCUCAGCUGGGAGAGGGGAGCUGUGUUGCUGUCCGAUGGAAUGUUACAUGAUUAUCCAAAAUGAUGGCUUUAGCAGAAACUCAUGAGACUCAAGUAGGAUGAGAGUCAUGGCUUCUGUAUGGACUAUAAGGCAUCCAGAUUAAAAUCUCUGCCAUUCCCGUGCCCCUCCCCCCCUUCCCCCAACUUCAGGGCCCCAUGCAAACUAAUUGCCUCUGAGAAAGAUACUUCUAGAAGUUCAUACAUCCUACCUAUUGAGAAUACCAUGAAUCGCUCUCUGAUUACCCCUAUUUUUCUCAACUGUCUAAGGGAGAACCUAGGUAAUUAGCCUAAAUCUUUACAUCACUGAACUUUUAUAAGUUGUGAUUCGCACCUUUGUCUUCUAAGAUUCUUGUUUUCUUCUGAUUCUUGAGAACUUGUGCAGAAAAGUUAAAGUUAAAAAAGUUAAAGUUUUCUUGCCAUGUCUGUCUACACAGAAGUUGUUGGUAAGUGGAAAAAAGACUAUCCCCUAUAAUUUAUUACCAGAUGAUUAAUAUUGAGGUAAGACAUUCAGUUUAUUACUAAUGGUAUUAUUUGCCUAGUCCAUGCCAUUAUCUCAUUUAAUUUACAGUGAUUAUUAAACCUGUGCUGCAUUGGUAUAGACAAAAAGGUAGGAGACUUCAUUAUAGUGUAGCAUGUAUUGUCUUUCCUUUUAUUAAGUGAUGGAGCUGGGGGAAAUGGCUCUAAUGAGAGCUAGUUCUUUCCAGCAUUUUGGAGAACAGCUUCAGUCUGGCAUCUUCAGCUUUUCUGCAGGAUGGUAAAUAUUUAUUAAAGCAACCAAAGUGAUCAGGCUUAUUAGAGACAGGUAGCUCUGAACUGUGGGGCUGUUUCAAGCUGUGACAAUGAAAUGCAGAGGGAUUUGGGAAAAAAGGAGAAAAUGGCAAGAUGUUAAGUAUUUCACAAUAUACACAGUAACAUUCUUCAUUGUAAGAGGAAAUGUGUAAAUGUCUUUUUUUUUUUUUUUUUAAUCAUCUAAAUCAACCUGAAAUGAAGAAGUCUUCAAGUGCAUUCGUAAGGAGUCUACGUAGUACUCUGACCUUGGUAAGGAAAUUAAUAUAGCAGAUAAGUAGAUAGAAAUAAAAUGACAAUGCCUGUCAUAUCAGAGUUACAAUCUGCUGCAAACCUGAUGGUGCAAGUUUUUCUGAUGUGAGAGUUUUCAUAUUUAGUUUGUAGGGUCAGCAGCAUGGGUUACCUUGAGGGACCAGGUCCUACCUACAUUUAACAGUGAAUAAUGCCACACAGAUGGAGGAUGCAUGUUACAGCAGUUAGAGCCCCAGUGGUACAUGCAGCCUCAUGGCUAGAAUUACAGACUUGAACAAUUAAGGGCACCAAAAUGUAAAUAAUCUUGAUAUGCACAUCUCUGCUGCUCUCUGGAUUUAAAAAAAAAAAGAAAGACAAACCAUUAUAUUAGCAUUUCUGUGCAGCACCUAGAGUAGAAAUGGAAUGGAAAGUCACAAAUGGAGGUUUUUCUAAUUUAUUAAAAAACAAAACAAACCACAAAUUCUUAAGAAAAGCUCCAAGACAAAUUGGCAAAAUUGCGCAAGAUCAGGAAGAAAUUUUCAGGUGGAAAAAACUACCUACCAGCUGGGAGACCCACUUGAUGAGUUGCUGUUAUUAACUAAGACCUCCAAAGCAAAUGUUAAUGUGUUAAUUAGAAGCAGGGUAAUAACCUCCCAGAUUUCCCAGUGGGAAACAAAAAAACCAAACCAAACCAAAAACAAGACUAUUUUUUUCUGGCUAUAACUGGUUAAAACCAAACAUGUCAGCAAGGGACCCCCACCCCCCACCCCCAAUACUGCUUCUUCAUUUUCUGAAGCGUUUGCAGCAUUGCUGCCCUAUUGGUAAUGUAGACCACCUUACCUGGCAUUUCAGCAUGGUAACUAGAUAGAAGCACGGAAUCCAGAAGUUUAUUUAUCUUUCCAGAAAAUCAAAUAAAAUCUCUAUCCUGACUGGUAGCUUUGAUUUCUAGAAAGAAAGAAAAAGUCCCGCAUUGGCUUAGACUGGUUCCAAGUAAGAAAAAAGUAAGAAAAGGAAAUUAAAAGGGAAGAGGAGAGAUUCAUUCUCUGUCUGUCCUGUCAGUAUAAAAACACAAGAGUCUGAAUGAGCUCUCACACGGAGCCCUACUCAUUUUAUUUUGGCUUCCGUGAUAGAAAUCAACUUUUUUUUUUUUUUUUUUUUUUUUUUUUUUGCUAACCAACCUUCAGAAGAACUUGUAGCCAAGCAAAAUCAAACCAUAUGUUUUAAAAUUGCAUUCUGUUGAGACCAAACAGCAUAAAGGGAUGUAGCUCUUACGGACAUUUAGGAAACACUUGAAUUCUUUGACUUACCUUCUGCAGUUUUUUACCAUUUGGAUGCCUUGAGCUGUGUUGCAUGCUUUUCUCAGAAAGGCUCAAGAGAGAUGGAGGGUAUUCAGGCGUAUGCAUUAUCCGUGGGGCUAGCUUGUGGGAAAGCCAGGACUGGAGCCACAGUACUUACAUUCCAGGAGCGCAUUUGAUGACUUUCCCAGUAAAGACACAGCCUUUCUUAUCUCUCAGCUCUGAGCCAGCCCACGAUCCUUAUAUUUUCAUUUAGUAUUCAUAAGAAUUGAAAAAACUCCUUUUUUUUUUUUUAUUAUUUUGUCUUUACACAGUUCUGGUUCUUUGUGAUUAAUCAGAUCAACUCAGCUUUUUGCAGAAACUGUGACAGUACCGUCAUCACUCUGUUCUCUCUCAAAUUCCUCCCAAAAUCCCUUCAGCUGCUUUGGUGGAAGGAAUUCUGAAGAGACAAUGCCACCUUGGAAUCUGUCCCAGAAUCUUGAAGACUUUGAUACUACUUUGAUUUGGAAUUUAGGAGUGGCAUACAGGACUGGUAGUUGUUCCAUAUGCCUUUCCAGUGAGUUACAGGGUUCUUCUUAUUUUCCCUGAAGUUGUGGCCCUGGAAAUUUACUCUUUCUCUCCUCUCUAACAAAAGAAUAGAGAUGAGGGGCUCUAAUUGCUCCAUUGGACCAAGUGUCAUUGGCUUUCAUAACUGUGUAGGAUGUGGUGAAGAGGACAUGUUCUAGCAGUGACUUGUGGGGUGGGGUGAGUCUUCCUAUCCUGUAUCCUGUUGCAGAGGCAAUCCUCUUGCAUUACAUUUUCCUCUUGUUAAAAAAAGUUACUUUAAGUUAUAGGCCAAGAUACUGCUGACCUGUAUGAAUUCAUUUUACAAUGGCUGUGUAGAGAGUCCCUGCUGUCUACAUGAAGUCAUUACUUGGGAACCACUGAAUGAGUUACCUCAUAAAAUUAAGUCAGCCAGCAGAA